GCUCCUUAACUUUUAUCUUAGUAGCGCUCAUUCAGCCGAGUUGUGAGAGUGGAGUAGCGUCACCUUCUCAUUCGAAAAUGACUGAUGUGCUAAGAAGAUGCCGUUAUGGCGAAGCGAGAGUGAGCUGGAUUCUCCCAAGGAUUGCUCUUCGGAGAGGCCGCGGUUUAUUACAAAUGGGAAAGCUUUCAUUGCAGAUUGCUCCGGCGCAGCACAGGGGUACGUGACCCAUCUAGGCCGCGCCGGGGGUUGACUUUAUGGCUCUGAAUUCACUCAAAAAGUGAGCAGAGCUGAAUUUAACUGUGUCUGUUUGUGUUUGUUUAUGGACAUCCACAUUUAAAUUGUGUGUGGAAAUGUUUUAACAAAUGGUUAGUCAUAAGCAAAAGAGUGAAUCCUUGUUAGCUGGAAUAAAAGUCUGCACUGAGCGCCA
Gambusia affinis (western mosquitofish) is the source of this 427-nucleotide long non-coding RNA. RefSeq lists it as uncharacterized. The transcript is spliced from 2 exons. The record is from RefSeq and is a predicted model, not a curated record. Lineage: Eukaryota; Metazoa; Chordata; Actinopteri; Cyprinodontiformes; Poeciliidae.